CACAGCCUGACAUGAUGGACUGUAGGACAGGACUGCUGCUUAUAACUCUCUGCUUGGCAGGUGUUAAUGGUCAGACUCUGACAGAAUCUGAACCAGCAGUUAAACAACCUGGUCAGUCUCACAGAUUGACCUGUACAACAUCUGGAUUCACACUCAGCAGCUACUGGAUUCACUGGAUCAGACAGGCUCCUGGAAAGGGCCUGGAGUGGAUUGCUGCUGAUGGUGGUGGUACCAAAUACUACUCUCAGUCAGUACAAGGUCGAUUUACUGUCUCCAGAGACGACAGCAGACAGCAGGUGUAUCUGCAGAUGAACAGCCUGAAGACUGAAGAUUCUGCUGUUUAUUAUUGUGCCCGAGAGUCACAGUGA
Neolamprologus brichardi is the source of this 368-nucleotide non-coding RNA. The record is from the annotation of a RefSeq genome assembly. Lineage: Eukaryota; Metazoa; Chordata; Actinopteri; Cichliformes; Cichlidae.